This 354-nucleotide long non-coding RNA is filed under the name Equus caballus (horse). RNAcentral describes it as "lncRNA (ENSECAG00000053345.1)". Lineage: Eukaryota; Metazoa; Chordata; Mammalia; Perissodactyla; Equidae. The record is from RNAcentral.
CAGCACUGGACUGGAAAUUAAAAGGUAAUUUUUGAAACCUUCUUGUGUCUCUAGCUCACUUUAGCAGAGUUCCUAUUUAUGUACCAGUUGGCAAAUCAGGAAAGGUUCCUACGUGCUUGUCCUUUGAAUGCCUCUAGGAGAAGAUUCAGUCAAAGGACUCGACCUAAAAUUCGUAGGUAGGCAUCGUGACUGAAAUGGGUGGUUGAAUAUACAUUUAUACGAAAAUAGUGAAGUAUUUUCAUUUACAACUUACUGAAAAAAAUUAAAAAGAAUAACAACAAUACUAUAAGAUAAAUACAUACUAAUUCUUUCAGUUAUCAUCUCUUGUGAAAAAUAAUCAAAAAAUGUAAUGGC